Molecule: long non-coding RNA, 482 nt
Filed under: Physcomitrium patens
Lineage: Eukaryota; Viridiplantae; Streptophyta; Bryopsida; Funariales; Funariaceae
Description: long non-coding RNA (PPAT_LNC010553)
Source: RNAcentral
AUAGAAGAUAGUAUGGAGAUUCACCGAUAGUCAAGCAGUCUAUUAGUUUUGACUGCUGGAAUAUAAACGACUGCAACAAUGUACCGUAAAUCUAUACGGAUGCUCUUUGACUGCUUAUCGAAGUCCUUUUUGCCCCAGCCGAUAGGUCUCUAGACGUUACUGAGAACCCCAAACUAUCCCAAACUGUUAAUCUUCAAUACCGCUUUGUACUUACGAUCUUGUAUCCACUGACUGUCUUGUUAGAUUAACCCAAUAAAUUUCAUUCACUCCACAUACUCAAUCCUAUAGACACCCUUUUAAUCCUUCAAUCACAGACGUAACUCGAUUUCACAAAACAGUCAAGAAUAUUCAAACCUUCUUCAUUAAAAAUCUCGAUUCACCAUUACAAUACUGACUUUAGCAGCGAUUGCCUCAGUCUUCCCAAAACUCUACGAAGAAGAAAAAUCCAAAUUCUAUGUCUUUCCUUCUCCGACCCGAAGCAU